Molecule: transfer RNA, 70 nt
Filed under: Paenibacillus sp. ov031
Lineage: Bacteria; Bacillati; Bacillota; Bacilli; Caryophanales; Paenibacillaceae
Description: tRNA_Phe_GAA
Rfam family: tRNA
About the family: Transfer RNA (tRNA) molecules are approximately 80 nucleotides in length. Their secondary structure includes four short double-helical elements and three loops (D, anti-codon, and T loops).
Source: RNAcentral
ACUCCCUUAGUUCAGUGGCAGAUUACCAAAGGAAAGUUUGGAAUCGGCGGUUCGAUUCCGUCAGGGAGCU